Molecule: transfer RNA, 59 nt
Filed under: Trichuris rhinopiptheroxella
Lineage: Eukaryota; Metazoa; Nematoda; Enoplea; Trichinellida; Trichuridae
Description: tRNA-Ala
Source: RNAcentral
GGGUUUAUAUUGUAAGUCUAGCAUUUCUUCCUUGCACGAAGAGAGUCUUAAUCCAUCCA